UUAAAGUGUUUGAUGACUGUGUUGAAUUACUUAACUGUUCUAUGAUUACUGCAUCAUACUUACAUGUGCUUGUUAACGUACUAGUCUUGUACAGAAAAAUUGACUAAAUGGUCCUGAAUGUUUUCCUAAGUGUUAGGAAUUAAAAGUGUCACAAAAAGAUAUAUAAAAGACACUUUAAGGAAUAAUUAAGCACUUUAAUGGAACGGUUUCUAACCGAACAACCGGACAUUACCCGGGACACCAAAUUUUUGCCAAACAUAUUGUUUAUUUAUUUCUUGACUAGUCGUGAUCCCUGAACACCCUAACUGUUGGUGCAUUAUGUACCAAGACUAAAGACUCAGGCGCUAAAGACUACGUCAACAUCCAAGGGGGAGUCACCCACUAAAUAUCAAGUAACUAACAUAUGUAAGUAUACACUUGAGAUUUAACUAAUCUUUACCAACUUAGUUGCAAA
This 454-nucleotide long non-coding RNA is filed under the name Helianthus annuus (common sunflower). Its description in RNAcentral is "sRNA HanXRQr2_Chr06g0262901". Lineage: Eukaryota; Viridiplantae; Streptophyta; Magnoliopsida; Asterales; Asteraceae. The record is from RNAcentral.